Long non-coding RNA from Suricata suricatta (meerkat), 491 nucleotides. RefSeq lists it as uncharacterized. The transcript has 2 exons. Lineage: Eukaryota; Metazoa; Chordata; Mammalia; Carnivora; Herpestidae. The record is from RefSeq and is a predicted model, not a curated record.
GAUGAAGUGGCUGGAGACCUCUGACAACAGGCGGCAGAUGUAAAGACUGAGGGGGAAAUAACUACGAGUGCCCCAUCAUAAGGCAGCACAAAACCACAAGAAUUAGGAAGUGAAGAAAGAAGAGGACAAAACAGAUCAGUUCUUCUAGAACAAAGGGGAAGAUACAAAGGUGAAGAAGCAAGAAUUUAUACCAAAAAAAAAAACAUGGACCAGAAGACAUGAUCCCUGGAUCUGGUUAUUUAACCUUGGACAAGCUACCCACUCAGUCCAAACAUGCUACAGAAUGGAGAUAAAGCACAUCCUGCUUAUGUCUUAAGGCUUCUUCAAACAUCCAAGAAGUAAUACACGUUAAAGCAGUUAAAGACUACAAAACCCAACAGAAAUGUAACGUGAUGGGAUUAGUAUUUCAGGUGUGGCAGAAAGAAAAAAAAAGGGCAAAAGAGAAAUCAAUCCAAUCCCAUCAAUCCCCAAUCUGCUCUUAGUCUUCUAAA